AUUGAACGCUGGCGGCAGGCUUAACACAUGCAAGUCGAGCGGGGAAAGGUAGCUUGCUACCUAACCUAGCGGCGGACGGGUGAGUAAUGCUUAGGAAUCUGCCUAUUAGUGGGGGACAACAUUCCGAAAGGAAUGCUAAUACCGCAUACGCCCUACGGGGGGAAAAGCAGGGGAUCUUCGGACCUUGCGCUAAUAGAUGAGCCUAAGUCAGAUUAGCUAGUUGGUGGGGUAAAGGCCUACCAAGGCGACGAUCUGUAGCGGGUCUGAGAGGAUGAUCCGCCACACUGGGACUGAGACACGGCCCAGACUCCUACGGGAGGCAGCAGUGGGGAAUAUUGGACAAUGGGCGAAAGCCUGAUCCAGCCAUGCCGCGUGUGUGAAGAAGGCCUUUUGGUUGUAAAGCACUUUAAGCGAGGAGGAGGCUACUUAGAUUAAUACUCUAGGAUAGUGGACGUUACUCGCAAAAUAAGCACCGGCUAACUCUGUG
RNAcentral lists this ribosomal RNA (487 nucleotides) under uncultured bacterium. RNAcentral describes it as "bacterial SSU rRNA". It matches the Rfam family "Bacterial small subunit ribosomal RNA", at positions 30 to 507 of the family's 1533-position model. The record is from RNAcentral.